RNAcentral lists this long non-coding RNA (321 nucleotides) under Malus domestica (apple). Its description in RNAcentral is "long non-coding RNA (MDOM_LNC011139)". Lineage: Eukaryota; Viridiplantae; Streptophyta; Magnoliopsida; Rosales; Rosaceae. The record is from RNAcentral.
GACGACUGAAGUGUAGUGGCUGGCUUUGAAGCUGCAGCUGCUACGUUGGCUGCAUGUUGGGAGGUAACGACGGGUAGCUGUGAGCUGCAAUAUUGUUGGUUGAAUGAUAUCUGCCAUCGUUCCCUCGCUCCGACUCCUGCGUAUCGAGAGAUCCUGCUUGAGGCUCAUAAGUCUGCUUCCCAUCAAGGUAGUGCUGUUGACUAUGCACUGUUGCUUUUGUUCCGCUCGGAGGGAGGUGGUCAUGUUUGAUCGAUCUGCAGAAUCAUUCAGAGAGCUAGACUUGAUUUACGGCCGGUUGUAGUACGCCAUGUGGGGAAGAAG